GUACAACAGCCAUAAAACUGAAUAUUAUUUGGCUAGAACCUGAAAUGGCAGAAACUCUCAGGAAUCAUGUGCAAACCGUCUAAAGCUGACUGUUGGAUGGGGUUGGCGAAGGUGUGCUUGAAUAAGGAUCACCUGAAGGCGUGGAGUCCCUGGCUGCUGGUUGUUUGUGUCGUGGCGGGUGGCAGUUUGAGUCCCCUGCAGGCAGUGGCGGCUGUAAUAUGUAUUAGUAUAGGCAUGCAGACAACAAUUGGAAAUUAUAUGAUUCAUGUGAUCAUUUUCCUUGUAUUCUUUUCUAUUGUUGGUUAUAUAUAAGAUUUUAGAAGAUUCUUGUGAUCCUUUUCCUUGUAUUCUUUUCUAUUGUUGGUUAUAUAUCAGAUUUUAGAAGAUUCUUGUGAUCCUUUUCCUUGUAUUCUUUUCUAUUGUUGGUUAUAUAUCAGAUUUUAGAAGAUU
Molecule: long non-coding RNA, 450 nt
Organism: Zea mays
Lineage: Eukaryota; Viridiplantae; Streptophyta; Magnoliopsida; Poales; Poaceae
Exons: 2
Source: RefSeq, a predicted model, not a curated record